This 253-nucleotide ribosomal RNA is filed under the name uncultured bacterium. Its description in RNAcentral is "partial 16S ribosomal RNA". It matches the Rfam family "Bacterial small subunit ribosomal RNA", at positions 524 to 776 of the family's 1533-position model. The record is from RNAcentral.
UACGUAGGGGGCAAGCGUUGUCCGGAUUUAUUGGGCGUAAAGAGCGUGUAGGCGGCCAGGUAGGUCCGUUGUGAAAACUGGAGGCUUAACCUCCAGCUGUCGAUGGAAACCAUCUGGCUAGAGUCCGGAAGAGGAGAGUGGAAUUCCCGGUGUAGCGGUGAAAUGCGCAGAUAUCGGGAAGAACACCCGUGGCGAAGGCGGCUCUCUGGGACGGUACUGACGCUGAGACGCGAAAGCGUGGGGAGCGAACAGG